ACGGAAGGCAGCAGUGGGGAAUAUUGGGCAAUGGGCGCAUGCCUGACCCAGCAACGCCGCGUGAAGGAUGAAGGUCUUCGGAUUGUAAACUUCUUUGAUCAGGGACGAAUAAUGACGGUACCUGAAGAGCAAGUCACGGCUAACUACGUGCCAGCAGCCGCGGUAAUACGUAGGUGACAAGCGUUAUCCGGAUUUACUGGGUGUAAAGGGCGUGUAGGCGGUUUGGCAAGUCAGAAGUGAAAUUCCCGGGCUUAACUUGGGCGCUGCUUCUGAAACUGCUUAACUUGAGUACUGGAGAAGAUAGUGGAAUUCCUAGUGUAGCGGUAAAAUGCACAGAUAUUAGGAGGAACACCGGUGGCGAAGGCGGCUAUCUGGACAGUAUCUGACGCUGAGGCUCGAAAGCGUGGGGAGCAAACAGGAUUAGAUACCCUGGUA
This 435-nucleotide ribosomal RNA is filed under the name uncultured Saccharofermentans sp. RNAcentral's name for it is "partial 16S ribosomal RNA". It matches the Rfam family "Bacterial small subunit ribosomal RNA", at positions 341 to 792 of the family's 1533-position model. Lineage: Bacteria; Bacillati; Bacillota; Clostridia; Eubacteriales; Oscillospiraceae. The record is from RNAcentral.